This is a non-coding RNA of Gossypium hirsutum (cotton), 219 nucleotides long. NCBI's taxonomy places the organism in Eukaryota, Viridiplantae, Streptophyta, Magnoliopsida, Malvales, Malvaceae. The record is from Rfam.
ACGACCUUACUUGAACAGGAUCUGUUCUAUAGGCUCGUACCUCUGUGUCCUUCAGUUCAAAGGAGACAGGAUUCCAAGUCUGGUUGAUGAACCAGGACUGUGUGACCUGAGCGUGAUUAUUGGUCUGGUGAUUCCCUUGCUGGUUUCACUUCGACCGCAGAGGAUCGUUCUCAGCUUGCCUUGCGCGGCUGGGAAGGUCACGCAGUUGUCUGACAGACU